RNAcentral lists this long non-coding RNA (3015 nucleotides) under Homo sapiens (human). Its description in RNAcentral is "HSALNT0007236". The record is from RNAcentral. Lineage: Eukaryota; Metazoa; Chordata; Mammalia; Primates; Hominidae.
GGCCUGUAUUUUUAUAGGUUGUGAAUAUCCUUUUAUUCUCACCUUUCCCUCACCUAGCAGUAACUGGAAGGUGCUAAUUGGCCCAUCUAUGAGCACCUAAAACGCUCCAUCUGAAAAUGCCCACCUCCUGCCCAUGCACCUGUAAGUUGUCCAUCCCUGCACUCUCUGGCCUCCCACCCUCUAGGGGAGGUCUGCUUCCUUCACUUUGGAGAGGGCUGCUGCGCAAGCCAUUGUAGCCCCAUUUUAUAUACAAGGAAACUGAGGCAAGCAUACAGUGAAACAACUUGGCUGAGCUAGAACAGAGUCUCAGGACUACCUGUCAAAGAAGAUAAAUGGACUAGUCAAGGAAAGUUGGGGAGGAAUUCAAACCACAUGCCUGGCCUAGGCUGACAGUGAGGCUUAAUGCAGGUAACCACACUUCACAUCCUGUGCCGGGUUUGAAGUGCUCUGGUGAUCUGCAAAGAGAGCCUCAACACAGCCAACUCACUGCCAAAAAAGAAAUUCUCACUCAGAAUAUUGGCCAAACAACAUUUUUAUUUGAAAGAAACCAAGCCAAAUAAAAACACAUAGUAUUUUCUUCUCAUGCCUUUCCUUGCCUGGGAUAUUUAUUUAUUUACUUUUCUUUCAUUCUCCUGACCACCUCUGACAUUGUUUUUAUUUUGAGGAGAUUUAAAAAUAACUUCCCUGUACUCAUUCAUCUUGCUCUCCUGAGAUAGAGGGAAUUUUCACAUUUUCCAGCCAGUUUUAAUGUAGCAGAAACAAUCAGAGGUGCUGCUGUGACUUUUGGUGUAUUAGAAAAGGGGAGGGCUGGGGCAGGUGGGCUUGGCCAAUAAAAUACAGCUGGGGAACAGGAAACUGCAGAGAGAUUUCCCAGACUUGGCCUGCGCUGCAGCCCCGCUGUGCUCUCCUGUGAAGCUGCACCAGGCCUCUGGGCUGAAUUCCCACCUGGGCUUGAGAGGGCCCUCCCAUGUUGGUCCUUCUUGCUCCCUAGUGCAAGACUUCCUUUGCCCACAACGACACUGCCUCCCAUGUACAGAACAGUGCUAUCGCUAUGACUCAUUUCUGCAUCUUGAUUGCUGAGAUCACUGAUCAGGUUUGUGACAAAACAGCAUCAAAUCUGAAGAGUUGUGUCCUCCCCGCACCACCCCCCUCGCCCCCACCAUUAUUUGCUCACCUUGAAGGUAAUCCAGGAUAGGAGUCCCUCUGAAGCAAACAGAACAUCCAUCAAAGACCCGAAAGAACAUAAGGGCUCUGGAGUUGCUACUGUUCAAGAUUUGCUGUGCCUGAAACCCACACUUAAGAAACUUCAUUUACAUACAGACCUGAAGAACAUCAUAAAAUUCUGGACUUUGAACUUGAUGCCAUAAUCUAUGAGAUAACAAACCUCCAAAAUGGCCUCCUAUGGAGUUUUAUAGUGUCCUCCCAUACUGAAUAGGGCUGGCCUUGGUAGUUAACGAACUACUAGAGAAAAAACUAUGUCUGUCUUUCAAAGCAAGGCCACAAAUGACACUUUAGAUUUUUCUUUGCUCUCUGUCAUAUCACUCACUCUGGGAAAGCCAACUUCCAACCUUACAGGGAGGUCGACUUAGAGAGGAAUGGAAGUGUCUUGUCCACAACCACGUGAGUGAGCCUUCUGGAUAGUGGGUCCUCCAGUCCUAUUCAAGCCUUCACAUGGGACAUUUUGACUGAAACUUCGUGGCUGACAUUUUGACUGAAACUUUGUGGGACACCCUAAGAGAGAAGCACUCACCUCCUGAAUUUUUGACUAACAGAACAGUGAAAGAUAAUACAUGGUUAUUGUUCAAUUUUAACAAGGGCAGCUACAUUUUGGAAUUAUUUGUUAUGAAGCAAUAGGUAACUGAAAUAAUUGGGAUUAGACUUUUGGAGGUCUUAGUUUGGAUGUGAGAGUAUUUUACAUGUGGGAGGAAUAUGAAUAAUUUGUGGCAAGAGGGCAGAAUCUAUAGAUUGUUUAAUGGCCACAAAUUCCUCUCCUCCCAGUAUGCAUGCAUGCUCCCUUUUCAAUGUAACAUUUCUGGCUCUCCCAUCCAGAGAUGGACCUUUGUUUUAAAAAAGCAUGUUAUUGAGGCUGGGUGUGGUGGCUCACACCUGUAAUCCUAGCACUUUGGGAGGCCUAGGCAGAUGGAUCACUUGAGGUCAGGAGUUCAAGAGCAGCCUGGCCAACAUGGUGAAACCCCGUCUCUACUAAAAAUACAAAAAUUAGGCAGGUGUGGUGGCAGGCGCCUGUAAUCCCUGCUAUUCAGGAGGCUGAGGUGGGAGAAUCACUUGAACCCAGGAGGCAGAGGUUGCAGUGAGCCGAGACUGUGCCAUUGCACUCCAGCCUGGGCAACAGGGCUAGACUCUGUCUCAAAAAAAAAAAGAAAAAUUAUUGAAUCUGGACAUCCUAGUGAAUCACUUUUCUAAAUAGAAUUGGCAGAAGUAAAUUUAUGUGACUUCUGAAACUAAGCCUUGCAAGGCCUUGCUGCUUCUUCCUUUGUCCUCUUGGAUGGCUGCCCUGAGAAGGCAUCUAGGAAAGUCAGUCCAGUCACCUAGAAGGUGAGAGGCCACAUGGAGAAGAACUCAGGCACCCCAACUGAUAGCCAAUAGCCUCUCCCAGACUUGUGAAUGACGCCAACUUCCAGCCCAGGCAGAUCUUUAGCUGAGUGUGGCUAUGCAAGCAAGCCUUGGCACAUUUGCCAGAGGAACCUUCAAGCCAACCUACACAAUUAGUUGCUAUUGUUAUGGGGUUGUAAGUUAAGCAGCAAAAGACAAAACAAACUUUAUUGUAACAAUUUAUAUAAAGUAUAGUCUUGAACUUGUUGUUUCUCAAUAAUAUCAAAAGCUUUAUUUCAAGAAAUUAUUGUUGAUGACAUCUUGGAAUAUUGUAGAAUAAUGGCCCUUAUGUUCUAUGUAGACACAACUUAAAACAGAAUUACUGGCCCUUUUUUUUUGUGGAAUCAGCCGCAUGCCCUGUGUACUUGCUCCAUAUUGUCUAUCCAAUACAAAAAACACAUACCU